RNAcentral lists this ribosomal RNA (792 nucleotides) under uncultured bacterium. Its description in RNAcentral is "bacterial SSU rRNA". It matches the Rfam family "Bacterial small subunit ribosomal RNA", at positions 61 to 832 of the family's 1533-position model. The record is from RNAcentral.
GUCGAACGCGAAAGGGGCUUCGGCCCUGAGUAGAGUGGCGAACGGGUGAGUAACACGUGGGUGAUCUACCUCUGAGUGGGGGAUAACGUUCCGAAAGGAGCGCUAAUACCGCAUGACGUUCCGGGUUUGAAGACCGGGAAACCAAAGCCGGGGACCGCAAGGCCUGGUGCUUGGAGAGGAGCCCGCGCCUGAUUAGCUAGUUGGCGGGGUAAUGGCCCACCAAGGCGACGAUCAGUAGCCGGCCUGAGAGGGCGGACGGCCACACUGGGACUGAGACACGGCCCAGACUCCUACGGGAGGCAGCAGUGGGGAAUUGUUCGCAAUGGGCGCAAGCCUGACGACGCAACGCCGCGUGGAGGAUGAAGGUCUUCGGAUUGUAAACUCCUGUUGAUCGGGACGAAUGGGCUCCGGGUGAAUAGGCCGGAGCCGUGACGGUACCGAUUGAGGAAGCCACGGCUAACUCUGUGCCAGCAGCCGCGGUAAUACAGAGGUGGCAAGCGUUGUUCGGAAUUACUGGGCGUAAAGGGCGCGUAGGCGGCCUUGUCAGUCAGACGUGAAAUCCCCAGGCUUAACUUGGGAACGGCGUCUGAUACUACAAGGCUGGAGUUCGGGAGAGGGAUGUGGAAUUCCAGGUGUAGCGGUGAAAUGCGUAGAUAUCUGGAGGAACACCGGUGGCGAAGGCGGCAUCCUGGACCGAAACUGACGCUGAGGCGCGAAAGCCAGGGGAGCAAACGGGAUUAGAUACCCCGGUAGUCCUGGCCUAAACGAUGAGUGCUUUGGUGUGGCGGGUAU